RNAcentral lists this ribosomal RNA (253 nucleotides) under uncultured bacterium. Its description in RNAcentral is "partial 16S ribosomal RNA". It matches the Rfam family "Bacterial small subunit ribosomal RNA", at positions 524 to 776 of the family's 1533-position model. The record is from RNAcentral.
UACGAAGGGGGCUAGCGUUACUCGGAUUGACUGGGCGUAAAGGGCGCGUAGGCGGAUGGUACAGUCAGACGUGAAAUUCCUGGGCUCAACCUGGGGGCUGCGUUUGAUACGUGCUGUCUGGAGUUCGGAAGAGGGUCGUGGAAUUCCCAGUGUAGAGGUGAAAUUCGUAGAGAUUGGGAAGAACACCAGUGGCGAAGGCGGCUAUCUGGACGGUUUCUGACGCUAAGACGCGAAAGCGUGGGGAGCAAACAGG